RNAcentral lists this ribosomal RNA (253 nucleotides) under uncultured bacterium. Its description in RNAcentral is "partial 16S ribosomal RNA". It matches the Rfam family "Bacterial small subunit ribosomal RNA", at positions 524 to 776 of the family's 1533-position model. The record is from RNAcentral.
UACAGGGGGUGCAAACGUUGCUCGGAAUUAUUGGGCGUAAAGAGCUCGUAGGCGGUUUGUCGCGUCUGCUGUGAAAACCUAAGGCUCAACCUUGGGCUUGCAGUGGGUACGGGCAGACUAGAGUGCGGUAGGGGUGACUGGAAUUCCUGGUGUAGCGGUGGAAUGCGCAGAUAUCAGGAGGAACACCGAUGGCGAAGGCAGGUCACUGGGCCGCAACUGACGCUGAGGAGCGAAAGCAUGGGGAGCGAACAGG